GUGGGGAAUCUUCCGCAAUGGACGAAAGUCUGACGGAGCGACGCCGCGUGAGUGAAGAAGGCCUUCGGGUCGUAAAGCUCUGUCAUCAGGGACGAACGGCCGGUGGAGUGGAAAGCCACCGGAUUGACGGUACCUGAGAAGGAAGCCACGGCUAACUACGUGCCAGCAGCCGCGGUAAUACGUAGGUGGCAAGCGUUGUCCGGAAUUAUUGGGCGUAAAGCGCGCGCAGGUGGGAUCUUAAGUCCAUUUUUAAAGUUCGGAGCUCAACUCCGUGAUGGGAUGGAAACUGGGAUUCUUGAGUACCGGAGAGGAAAGCGGAAUUCCCCGUGUAGCGGUGAAAUGCGUAGAUAUGGGGAGGAACACCAGUGGCGAAGGCGGCUCUCUGGUCUGUAACUGACGCUGAGGUUCGAAAGCGUGGGUAGCAAACAGGAUUAGAAACCCGUGUAGUCC
Molecule: ribosomal RNA, 450 nt
Filed under: uncultured bacterium
Lineage: Bacteria
Description: partial 16S ribosomal RNA
Rfam family: Bacterial small subunit ribosomal RNA
Source: RNAcentral